CAAGCGUUAUCCGGAAUUAUUGGGCGUAAAGCGUCCGCAGGCGGCUUUUUAAGUCUGUUGUCAAAGCCCACAGCUCAACUGUGGAUCGGCAAUGGAAACUGGGAAGCUAGAGUGUGGUAGGGGUAGAGGGAAUUCCCGGUGUAGCGGUGAAAUGCGUAGAUAUCGGGAAGAACACCAGUGGCGAAGGCGCUCUACUGGGCCACAACUGACGCUGAGGGACGAAAGCGUGGGGAGCAAACAGG
RNAcentral lists this ribosomal RNA (242 nucleotides) under uncultured bacterium. Its description in RNAcentral is "partial 16S ribosomal RNA". It matches the Rfam family "Bacterial small subunit ribosomal RNA", at positions 535 to 776 of the family's 1533-position model. The record is from RNAcentral.